AGCUUCUCUGAAAGGAAAGGUUAACAUUCCCCUUGAUAACGAUGGAAGAGGUCCUAGUGGCAUUUACAAUACAUGUAAGGUUAAAGCAUUAUCACCUACUCUGUGGCAUCUAACUUAUUGUGACU
Phascolarctos cinereus (koala) is the source of this 125-nucleotide small nuclear RNA. The record is from Ensembl. NCBI's taxonomy places the organism in Eukaryota, Metazoa, Chordata, Mammalia, Diprotodontia, Phascolarctidae.